AUUUGGCUCCACUGAAUCAUGGCCACACCUGUCACCUGGACUCUUGGAAACUAACUCUUGGGUCCUCUUGGUAAAUGUCUAGGUUAGGGUUUCCUCUUGAAUUCUUGCUUGGAAACUAACUCUUGGGUCCUCUUGGUAAAUGUCUAGGUCAGGAUUUCCUCUUGAAUUCUCGCUUGGAAACUAACUCUUGGGUCCUCUUGGUAAGUGUCAAGGUCAGGUUUUCCUCUUGAAUUCUCGCUUCCACAAG
Molecule: long non-coding RNA, 247 nt
Organism: Eriocheir sinensis (Chinese mitten crab)
Lineage: Eukaryota; Metazoa; Arthropoda; Malacostraca; Decapoda; Varunidae
Exons: 2
Source: RefSeq, a predicted model, not a curated record